AUUGAACGCUGGCGGCAGGCCUAACACAUGCAAGUCGAGCGGAUGAAGGGAGCUUGCUCCUGGAUUCAGCGGCGGACGGGUGAGUAAUGCCUAGGAAUCUGCCUGGUAGUGGGGGAUAACGUCCGGAAACGGGCGCUAAUACCGCAUACAUCCUGAGGGAGAAAGUGGGGGAUCUUCGGACCUCACGCUAUCAGAUGAGCCUAGGUCGGAUUAGCUAGUUGGUGGGGUAAAGGCCUACCAAGGCGACGAUCCGUAACUGGUCUGAGAGGAUGAUCAGUCACACUGGAACUGAGACACGGUCCAGACUCCUUCGGGAGGCAGCAGUGGGGAAUAUUGGACAAUGGGCGAAAGCCUGAUCCAGCCAUGCCGCGUGUGUGAAGAAGGUCUUCGGAUUGUAAAGCACUUUAAGUUGGGAGGAAGGGCAGUAAGUUAAUACCUUGCUGUUUUGACGUUACCAACAGAAUAAGCACCGGCUAACUUCGUG
Molecule: ribosomal RNA, 484 nt
Filed under: uncultured bacterium
Lineage: Bacteria
Description: partial 16S ribosomal RNA
Rfam family: Bacterial small subunit ribosomal RNA
Source: RNAcentral